CAGCAGCCGCGGUAAUACGUAGGUGGCAAGCGUUGUCCGGAAUUAUUGGGCGUAAAGGGCUCGCAGGCGGUUUCUUAAGUCUGAUGUGAAAGCCCCCGGCUCAACCGGGGAGGGUCAUUGGAAACUGGGAAACUCGAGUGCAGAAGAGGAGAGUGGAAUUCCACGUGUAGCGGUGAAAUGCGUAGAGAUGUGGAGGAACACCAGUGGCGAAGGCGACUCUCUGGUCUGUAACUGACGCUGAGGAGCGAAAGCGUGGGGAGCGAACAGGAUUAGAUACCCCGGUAGUCCCUGUCUCUUAUAC
Molecule: ribosomal RNA, 301 nt
Filed under: uncultured bacterium
Lineage: Bacteria
Description: partial 16S ribosomal RNA
Rfam family: Bacterial small subunit ribosomal RNA
Source: RNAcentral